Molecule: ribosomal RNA, 473 nt
Filed under: uncultured bacterium
Lineage: Bacteria
Description: bacterial SSU rRNA
Rfam family: Bacterial small subunit ribosomal RNA
Source: RNAcentral
ACUCCUACGGGAGGCAGCAGUAGGGAAUAUUGCGCAAUGGGGGAAACCCUGACGCAGCAAUGCCACGUGAGUGAGGAAGGGUUUCGGCUCGUAAAGCUCUGUCCUAAGGGAAGAACGGUAGAUCGGUUAAUACCCGGACUAUUUGACGGUACCUUAGAAGAAAGCACCGGCUAACUCCGUGCCAGCAGCCGCGGUAAUACGGAGGGUGCAAGCGUUGUUCGGAUUUAUUGGGCGUAAAGCGCGCGCAGGCGGACUAGUAAGUCAGAUGUGAAAUCCCAGGGCCUAACCCUGGAACUGCGUCUGAAACUGCAAGUCUAGAAUCUCAUAGGGGGUGGGGAAUUUCACGUGUAGGGGUAAAAUCCGUAGAGAUGUGAAGGAACACCAGAGGCGAAGGCGCCCACCUGGAUGAGUAUUGACGCUGAGGCGCGAAAGCGUGGGGAGCAAACAGGAUUAGAUACCCUGGUAGCUACGAG